UCGUGUUUGUGGGUGCCGUUGCUACUGCCGUUGUUCUUCGUUUUCGUCGUCGUUGUCGUCGUCGUCGUCAUCGUCGUCGUCGUCGUCGUCGUCGUCGUCGUCGUCGUCGAAAUCAACAUCAACAACAACGUAAACAUAAUUCAAGAUUAUCAACAUAAUAAACGUCUGCGUCGUCGUCGUCGUCGUCGUCGUCUUAAUAGUUUUCGUAAUAGUCUCCUCCUCGUAGACGUUUGUCGUUGUUGGGUCGAGUCGUCGUCGUCGUCGUCGUGGGAUCAGAGCCGGGAACGGUGACGGCUCUGAAAGUGUUUGUUAUGCGUCGGUGGUACAGCGGUGGUUGACGACGACGUCGACGUCGACGACGAGGAGGAGGACGAGAGAGGGCGGCAGAGGAGGAGCAGGAGGAGGAGGAGGUGCUGGUGCUGGAGGAGGCGGAAGAGGAAGAGAAGGAGCAGGAGGAGGAGGAAAAGGCGAAAACGAGCGGAAAGCGGACGGUUAUCGGGAGUGGAAGAAGAGAGAGUGGCCAGGUGUGUCGCGGCUUCACCGAGAAGGAGGAAGAGAACGUGCUGGUGGAGCUCGUGGUGGUGUGUCGGCGAAGAGGAAGAACGAAAGGAAGGGAGCCCGACGAAGACGAGGAAGAAGAAAAGGAAGGUAGUGCUGCUCGGAGGUUGCGCAGAGAUAUCGCCAAAUCUCUCUCUCUCUUUCUCCGGGUGGUCGUUUUGCGCACGAGAAGUAAGGGAGGAGGAGGAGGAAGAGGAGUAGAAGGAGGAGGAGAGCGGCCGGUGCGUGCGAAGAAGAGAAGAAGAGAAGAGAAGAGAAGAGAAGGGCCAAAGGAGAAGGUGCAAACGUGGUGUAUUUUUUCUGCGAAAGGGCUUAGAAAAAAAAAAGUGUUCCGCUCCGAGGGAAUCGACUACGUAGUCGAGUGUUGUAGUGCAUUUUUGUUAAAGUGGUGCCUCAGCACGAAGAGGGAAUCGCCAGCAGGGCAGAGGCUCGAACGCAUGUAGGAACAUGGCCGCAUCCAGCCCCUGCCUCCCUCUAGAGGUUGGCAGCAGCGCAAGAGGCGGCACAAAGGGAUCCUGGAUACGCGAGUCAGUACAGGAGAAGGCAGAGGUUGGCCGGACUGACUGGUCGCGGUGACUGGACUAGCUUUGGAGGGGAGGUAAUUGGUCCGGUGGAUAUGGCGCCAGGCCGGGAUCAGGGCGGAGGGGCGGGUGGAAGCGGGGGAGCCCAGCCCAAAUCUAAGGGCACGACCUCGCUGUUCAUCCUUUCGGAGGAUAAUUGUAUAAGGAAGCACACCCGCUUCAUCAUCGAGUGGCCGCCCUUCGAGUACGCCGUCCUGUUAACCAUCAUCGCCAAUUGCGUGGUCCUCGCCCUCGAGGAACACUUGCCCAAACAAGACAAGACCAUACUCGCACAGAAACUCGAGGCCACGGAGAUCUAUUUCCUCGGGAUUUUCUGCGUCGAGGCGAGCCUCAAGAUCCUCGCCCUUGGCUUUGUCCUCCACCGCGGCUCCUACCUUAGAAACAUCUGGAACAUCAUGGACUUCUUCGUCGUGGUGACCGGGUUCAUCACGGCGUUCUCGCAGGGCAUAGAACUGGAUAUGGAUCUGCGCACGUUGCGUGCGAUACGCGUGUUGCGACCGCUCAAACUUGUCUCCGGCAUACCGAGUCUUCAGGUGGUGUUGAAGUCCAUCAUAAAAGCAAUGGCGCCGCUUCUGCAGAUCGGAUUACUGGUUCUUUUCGCGAUCGUGAUAUUCGCCAUCAUCGGUCUUGAGUUUUAUUCGGGAACACUGCAUAAAACGUGUUACAGUAUAAAGGACAUCAGUGUGAUCGUGAAGGAAGGUGAGACUCCGGACCCGUGUAACACGGACGUUCAAUCGGAGGCACCGUUCGGUGCCCACGUGUGCAACGCGAGCACCUCAACGUGUUUGGAUCAUUGGGUGGGACCAAACUACGGCAUCACCAGUUUCGACAACAUCGGAUUCGCUAUGCUCACUGUCUUCCAGUGCAUCACUAUGGAGGGCUGGACUUCCAUAUUGUACUGGACAAACGACGCUCUUGGAAGCACGUACAACUGGAUUUACUUUAUACCAUUGAUCGUCCUUGGCUCCUUCUUCAUGCUGAACUUAGUUCUCGGUGUCCUGAGCGGAGAGUUUGCGAAGGAGAGAGAGAAGGUGGAGAACCGGCAAACCUUCCUGAAAUUGCGAAGACAACAGCAGCUCGAGCGCGAACUGAAUUGCUACCUCAAUUGGAUCUGCAAAGCAGAAGAGGUAAUUCUCGCCGAAGAGAGGACCACGGAAGAGGAAAAGAUGCACAUAUUAGAAGUGAGAAAAAGGGCCCAGGCGAAGAAGAAAAAAUUAAAGAAUCUUGGAAAGAGCAAAAGCACCGACACGGAGGAAGAAGACGCCGAGGAUGACCAGGACGAUGGGUUCUCGAGACCUUCCUAUUUCAAGUCGAGGGUGAAAAACAAAGGAACGUGUAUGCAAUUUUGGCGAGCCGAGAAGAGGUUCCGAUUCUGGAUACGUAAUUCCGUGAAAUCGCAGAAUUUCUAUUGGUUCGUCAUCGUCCUCGUGUUCUUUAACACCGUCUGCGUAGCCGUCGAGCAUUACGAUCAGCCACAGUGGCUUACCGAUUUUCUCUAUUACGCGGAGUUUGUGUUCCUUGCCCUGUUCAUGAUGGAAAUGUUCAUAAAGGUAUACGCGCUCGGUCCUCGCACAUAUUUCGAGUCGAGCUUCAAUCGCUUCGACUGCGUCGUCAUCUCGGGCUCGAUCUUCGAGGUGAUCUGGUCCGCGGUGAAGUCCGGCUCUUUCGGCCUCUCCGUCCUACGUGCCCUUAGACUCCUCAGAAUUUUUAAGGUCACCAAAUACUGGAAGAGCCUGCGGAACCUCGUAAUAUCGCUCCUCAGCUCGAUGCGUAGUAUCAUUUCCCUUCUAUUCCUGCUCUUCCUUUUCAUCCUCAUAUUCGCGCUGCUCGGAAUGCAGCUAUUCGGUGGGCAAUUCAACUUCGAUUCCGGCACGCCACCCACAAACUUCAAUACUUUUCCCAUCGCGCUGCUUACUGUCUUCCAAAUCCUUACCGGAGAAGACUGGAAUGAGGUGAUGUACUAUGGUAUCGAGUCACAAGGCGGUCACAGAAAAGGUAUGAUGUAUUCGCUCUAUUUCAUCGUGUUGGUGCUAUUCGGCAACUAUACUCUGCUGAACGUCUUCUUGGCUAUCGCCGUCGAUAAUUUGGCCAAUGCCCAAGAAUUGAGCGCCGCCGAGGAAGAGGAGCAGGAAGAAGACAAGGAGAAACAAAUGCAGGAAAUCGAUAAGGAAAUCGAGACAUUGCAAAAACCAAACGAUGGUACAGCAUCUAAGACAGAUAUCUGUCCUCCUAGUCCAAAUCAGAAUUUUAAAGACGGUAAAGGUGGAAAGCAGGCGUCCGAAGAGAAGAAGCAGGAUGAAGACGAUGACACGGGACCAAAACCAAUGCUGCCAUACUCCUCCAUGUUUAUACUAUCCCCUACGAAUCCCGUAAGAAGAGCCGCCCAUUGGGUCGUCAAUCUAAGGUACUUCGACUUCUUCAUCAUGGUGGUAAUAUCGUUGUCGAGUAUCGCGUUGGCCGCCGAGGAUCCUGUAUGGGAACAUUCGCCGAGGAACGAGAUCCUCAACUAUUUCGACUACGCGUUCACCGGUGUCUUCACCAUAGAGAUGAUCCUAAAGAUCAUCGAUCUUGGGGUCAUAUUACAUCCUGGCUCGUAUCUACGCGAGUUCUGGAACAUUAUGGACGCGGUGGUCGUAAUAUGCGCCGCGGUGUCGUUCGCAUUCGACAUGACCGGUAGUUCAGCGGGACAAAAUUUAUCGACGAUCAAGUCGUUGAGGGUGUUACGUGUGUUGAGACCGCUUAAAACGAUUAAAAGAGUACCAAAGCUCAAGGCGGUCUUCGACUGCGUCGUUAACAGUUUGAAAAAUGUCAUUAACAUUCUCAUAGUGUAUAUAUUAUUCCAAUUCAUCUUCGCUGUGAUCGCGGUGCAACUGUUUAACGGAAAAUUCUUUCACUGCAGCGACGAGAGCAAGUAUACGAAAAAGGACUGCCAGGGUCAAUACUUCGUCUACGAGGAAAAUGUAAUGCUGCCAGAACCCAAGAAAAGGGAGUGGACGUCUCAGUGUUUUCAUUACGACAACGUUAUGGCAGCUAUGCUUACGUUGUUCGCUGUACAAACCGGCGAGGGAUGGCCACAAAUCUUGCAGCACUCAAUGGCGGCCACUUACGAGGACCAGGGUCCCAUUCAAAACUUUCGCAUCGAAAUGUCCAUUUUCUAUAUCGUCUAUUUCAUCGUCUUUCCAUUUUUCUUCGUCAACAUCUUCGUGGCCUUGAUUAUCAUCACGUUUCAAGAACAGGGAGAAGCCGAGCUUCAGGACGGCGAGAUCGAUAAAAAUCAGAAAUCAUGUAUAGACUUUACAAUACAAGCUCGCCCAUUAGAGAGGUACAUGCCGAAGAAGCUGAACGGCGUAAAGUACAAAAUUUGGAGGAUAGUCGUAUCGACACCGUUCGAAUAUUUUAUCAUGAUACUCAUCGUACUAAAUACAUUACUACUAAUGAUGAAGUUCCAUCGGCAAAGCGAGGCGUACAAGAACACGCUGAAGUACAUGAACAUGUGCUUCACGGGGAUGUUCACCGUCGAGUGCAUACUGAAGAUCGCCGCUUUUGGCGUCAGGAACUUCUUCAAGGAUUCUUGGAACACGUUCGACUUUAUUACCGUGAUUGGCAGCAUCGUCGACGCACUUGUCAUCGAAUUCGGGGAGCGGUUUUCGAGUGUGCCAAGUGGUGGCCAGCUAACUGAAAAGAAGGAGAAUUUCAUCAACGUCGGCUUCCUCAGGCUAUUUCGUGCCGCCAGACUGAUCAAACUGCUACGACAAGGAUACACGAUACGAAUUUUACUCUGGACCUUCGUGCAAUCCUUCAAAGCCUUGCCUUACGUUUGUCUCCUCAUCGCGAUGCUCUUUUUCAUCUACGCCAUCAUCGGUAUGCAGGUAUUCGGUAACAUCGAGCUGGGUGCUGACAGUUCUAUUAACAAGCACAACAAUUUCCAAAGCUUCAUACAAGGUCUGAUGCUGCUUUUUCGGUGCGCAACAGGUGAAGCUUGGCCAAACAUCAUGUUGGCCUGUAUAAAGGGUCGACCAUGCGACGUGAAAGCAGGAAAACAGGAACCAGGUGGUUGCGGUUCUAACAUCGCUUAUGCCUACUUCGUCUCGUUCAUCUUUUUCUGCUCAUUUUUAAUGCUGAAUCUUUUCGUCGCCGUCAUCAUGGACAACUUUGAUUAUUUAACGAGAGACUCGUCGAUUCUCGGUGCACAUCAUCUAGACGAAUUUGUUAGAAUAUGGGCAGAAUACGAUCCCAAGGCCACCGGUAAGGUACUUUACAACGAGGUCUACGACAUGCUCAAAGUUAUGGAUCCACCGUUGGGGUUUGGUCAAAAGUGUCCCAACAGGCUAGCAUACAAGAAACUCAUCAGAAUGAACAUGCCCGUCGAUUCCGAUGGGAAGGUCAACUUUACCACUACACUUUUCGCACUGAUACGAGAGGAUCUUAGUAUUAAAAUGAGAUGCGCGAAUGAAAUGAGACAAGCGAACGAGGAACUUCGAGAUACUAUUCGAAGUAUUUGGCCUCUGCAAGCGAAAAAGAUGUUGGACCUUUUGAUACCUAGAGACGAAGAGGUAGGCAGAGGAAAGCUCACCGUCGGUAAGAUAUACGUCGCUCUCAUGAUAAUUGAAAAUUGGAAGACGACGAAGUUUGGUCGAGAAAAACCAUCCGGACAGAACGAUAACGAUCUUAUCGAUAACGAUAAUGCUGGGCAAAGUCCUGCAGCCCAGGCGCAAUCGACCCUCUACAACUGCCUGAUGGACAUGGCGGUGGUUAACCACACCGGAAAUAGCCACACAACCGGAAGUAGAGCGAACAGCCUCGAACCCGUGAUACGUCCCACAACGGAAACGAAGCAUGAUCAACACAAGGACUUCCGUGACGAGGAGGAAGGGACCUUAGGGGCCCUAGCAGCCGCCGAGCAAAGACGACAGCGUAGCAUCAGAAACAAAAAGGUGAACUGGAAGAUGUCCCACCAGUACGAUAUACUAGGCAGCAGCGGAGAGAGUAGCCAGGGAGGGGGUGGGUCUGGGGUUGUACUCGUAGUUAAUGGCGAGGAUCGCGCCCCCGAGCUAGAGCCAUUGCUGGCUGAGGUGCCCUCCCAGCAGGAUCACGACUACUACUACCAUCACCAUCACGACCAAUACUACGAUACCGACAAUGAUCAAUACUAUGACCAUCACCACCACCACCACCACCAUCACCAUCAUCAUCAUGAUCACCGACCACCCUCGUACUACCAACACCAGACCACCUACGCACCUCGCUCCUCGAUCCGUUACCACAAGGUCUCGGCUCGAUCCAAUUCCGCAGUGGACCUGCAGAAUGUCGUAGUUAGCGACUCACGUGCCGGUAGUAUCGAGAGUUUAACGACUUAUGGUGAGAGACUUCACCCCCAUCAUCCUUCGACGCAUCCACCGAGACAUCAUUCAAGAUCGCCAAGCUUAAGAAGACAUUCACCGGUCAUGCACAGAUCGCCAUCGCCAAGGCGACACAGGCACGACCAUCAUGGAUAUUAUCACGAAGGACCAGGCUUUAGCGACACGGUUAGCAACGUCGUCGAAAUUCAGAGGCAUCAUCAUCAUCCACAUUCUUUACAAUAUAAUCGACAUAAGAUGCGAGACUAUUACGACCACUGCGACUAUUACGACGAUGCAAAUCCAUCGAAAGUAGAACGUCCCCGAUGCCAUCUUUAGUCGUAAUCGCACGCUUUAUACACGGAACGAGCUUGAAAACAUUGACGUAUAAUUAUGUCCUUGGAGCGCAUCAACGAGUCCCGCGAGAUCACCUAGUCCAGUUCAUCGGAUAGAACGCGGUCAACAUUACG
RNAcentral lists this unclassified non-coding RNA (6945 nucleotides) under Polistes canadensis. Its description in RNAcentral is "voltage-dependent calcium channel type A subunit alpha-1, transcript variant X16". Lineage: Eukaryota; Metazoa; Arthropoda; Insecta; Hymenoptera; Vespidae. The record is from RNAcentral.